AUGGAGUCUCCACCUACGUAUCCUACGCCGUUCGACGUGACCAUGAAGGAGUUCAGGGACUUUGUAGUCCCUGGCAUGAUGCACUGGGCCAGCCCAAACUUCUUCGCGUUCUUCCCCGCCACCAAUAGCAUUGCCGCCAUCGCCGGUGACAUCAUUGCUUCUUCCCCGUACACCGUUGGUUCCACGUGGCAGGCCGCCCGCGUGGCAUCCGAGCUGUUUUCUACUAGUGUUGACUGGCUUGCGCAGCUCCUUCGCCUGCCGGCCAAAUUCAUGAAUCGCAUUGGCACUGGUAGUCAUGGCACCAGCGGUACUAUAAUCUUCGACACCACCAUUAAGGCUAUGUUGGUCACCCUCAUUGCCGCCUGUGACGCUGCACUGCAUCAGAGCGGCGGUGUGUCCUACAUGACAUGUUUGGCAGCCUAUGCCGCUGACCAGAUCCACUUCACCUUCUUCAAGACGUGUCGCCUUGCCGGCAAUGACCCAGCCAACAUCCGCUCCAUCCCUACCAUGUCAGAGGACGAGUAUGAGCUCAAACUGGCCAAGCUGCUCCAGUCUAUGCAGGUUGACGCUGAUGAUGGCCUCGUGCCAACGUACGUUUGCGCCCCGUUCGACACCAUAUCCUCCAAUUCUGUCGACCCGCUGGGCGACAUCGCCGAUGUUGCCGUAUUGUUCGGUGCAUGGGUCCACGUCGACGCUGCCUACACUGGCAGCGCCUACAUAUGCCCGGAAUUCCGCCACUACCUUGACGGCAUUGACCGUGUGGACUCCAUUAAUGUCAGUCCACACAAGUGGCUCCUUACUCGCCUCGACUGUGCCUGCCUCUACGUUCGUGACCCUCACCGACUGAGUGACUCCAUGGAAACCAACCCAGAGUACCUCAAGAACGAUGACACUGACUGCGGCAAGGUAACCGAUCUAAAGGACAUGCAGGCCGGCGUGGGUCGCCAGUUCCGCGGGCUCAAAUUGUGGAUGGUCAUGCGCACCUACGGCACCGCCAAGCUCUAAGGUCACAUCCGCAGCAAUGUCGCCGUGGUCAAGAUGUUUGAAGGACUCGUCCGUGCCGAUCAGUGGUUCAAGAUCGUUGUGUCUAGGACCUUUGCCAUGGUGUGCUUCAGGAUCAGGCCCAGUGGAACCAUUACCGAGGAGGAAGCCUAUGAGGCCAACCAUGUGCUGAUGAAGAAUCUGAAUAAGACAGGCAAGGUGUACAUUACGCACACAGUGUUUGGUGAUAGGGUUGUGCUCCGAGCUGCAGUGGGGUCAUCAUUGCAAGAAGAGAGCCAUGUGAGGAGUGCUUGAGAGCUCAUCAAGAGAACAACCAACAAGAUGACGAUGGAAUAA
Molecule: ribosomal RNA, 1338 nt
Filed under: Triticum aestivum (bread wheat)
Lineage: Eukaryota; Viridiplantae; Streptophyta; Magnoliopsida; Poales; Poaceae
Description: partial small subunit ribosomal RNA
Source: RNAcentral